CCAUGCUCUACAUUUCCUAUUGAUCCUGCCGGACCUGACUGCUAUCGGAUUGGUACUAAGCCAUGCGAGUCGUUGUAGCAAUACAAGGCGGACUGCUCAGUAACACGUAGUUAACUUAACCUAUGGAUGGGCAUAACCUCGGGAAACUGAGAAUAAUACCCAAUGGACCACAGUGCCUGGAAUGGCCUGUGGUUGAAAUGAUUUAUCGCCGUAGGAUAGGACUGCGGCCUAUCAGCUUGUUGGUGAGGUAAUGGCCCACCAAGGCUAUAACAGGUACGGGCUCUGAGAGGAGGGGCCCGGAGAUGGGUACUGAGACACGGACCCAGGCCCUAUGGGGCGCAGCAGGCGAGAAACCUUUGCAAUGUGCGAAAGCACGACAAGGUUAAUCCGAGUGUCUCCUGCUAAAGGAGUCUUUUGUCAGUUGUAGAAUCACUGGUGAAUAAGGGGUGGGCAAGUUCUGGUGUCAGCCGCCGCGGUAAAACCAGCACCUCGAGUGGUCAGGAGGUUUAUUGGGCCUAAAGCAUCCGUAGCCGGUUGCAUAAGUUUUCGGUUAAAUCUAUGCGCUUAACGUAUAGGCCGCCGAAAAUACUGUGCAGCUAC
RNAcentral lists this ribosomal RNA (600 nucleotides) under uncultured archaeon. RNAcentral describes it as "bacterial SSU rRNA". It matches the Rfam family "Archaeal small subunit ribosomal RNA", at positions 1 to 595 of the family's 1478-position model. The record is from RNAcentral.